GUGGGGAACCACAUCUCAGUUUACUAAAAGGCUCAUCUGUUUAGUCACUUCUGUGUUACUUUGUAUAGUUUGAGAGAACCAAUUCCUCUUCAUAUGAGAGAAUACAACCAGCUAGGAGUCACAACAUCUCUCUUAUGCUUUAGUUUUUACUACAAAGUUUUUCACCUAAAUAAACUUCAGUAAUUGAUGUUGAGUAAACACAUGGCCCUCAGUCCAAAAUGGUGGACAGCACAUUAUUUAUGGGUGAACGAGGCAUUAUCAUUUAACGCCUAUCCAACACAUUUAUCUAAAGGUUAUUUAAAUCUGGUGCUUUGAAGCAGGGCAGUUUACUGGAAAAAUUAAUUUUAAGUACACUCAAGCACUUAAGAAAGCCCCGUUUGUUUUUACUUGGGAAAACAGAUCCCUGAAGGACGUCACUUUUCUCCAGACACAAACUCAUAUGAUUUAUUAUUGAAUUAAGAAAACCUCAUGUCAUUUCUAAAUCUCUGCUGUCACAGAACCAUGGGCUUUAUUCAAAAGAUGGCAUGAGAUGCACAUCCCCAGAUUAUCUGCCAACCUGGGUUGAAAAGAGAGCGGCCACAAGAAGGAAUGACUCUGGCAGAGCAGCUGCAUUACAAUGUUCUGCUUCCUACUGUGACAAGACAGUCCAACACUGAAAAGUCCAAACUUCACACUCGGUUGGAGAAGGACACCUUUACCUCACUAUUGCACUGCACGCAGGGUUUCUAGCAAGCAGAGAGAAGGUCUUCCUUGACUUGAAAAGUUGCAGAUACCACAUGAAACCGUUGAGGAGUAUCACCACUUUGCAAAGGACUGAGUUGUUCCAGACAUUGGACAGAUCUUUCUACAAAAAUCAGAAUUUAAAGCCUGAAAAUACCCCUUUGCCCACAUUCUCCUGCACAAAUAUUGACUGGAGUCGAAACCCAUUGUCGUCAACCACUGGCACAAGGUCAGUAACAUGGAGGACAGAUAGAAGACUAGGGAGCAAGACCCAACGGAGUACUGAACCAAGUGACUGAAUGACUGAGAAACUUGUGUCCAUGUCAACUGCAGCCCGAGGGAGACAAGAGUACCAGGCAGCACAGUGAUUAUAUGGAGAACAUAGACAGAAUUCCAUAAGAGCUGACACUGUAAUAAACACUAUGAUAAAACAAUGGUGAAAGUUCCA
RNAcentral lists this long non-coding RNA (1168 nucleotides) under Scleropages formosus (Asian bonytongue). RNAcentral describes it as "lncRNA (ENSSFOG00015024996.1)". Lineage: Eukaryota; Metazoa; Chordata; Actinopteri; Osteoglossiformes; Osteoglossidae. The record is from RNAcentral.